UUCGGUGAAAUAAUGAAGUUUUUCGACUUCGAUCGGACUUAUAUCUGCUGUGCGAUAAGUCUUUUAAAUUAUGUUUUUUACUGAUUGAUUUGUCAUGAUUUGAAAAUCUUAUCGCAGAUACAAUUCCGAUUGAAAAAAUUAUUGAUUUUUACUAGAGUCCUAAGAUCAUACGCUACACAUUGGCAUUGUGUUUGGUCAAAAUCUGUCGAAUUAAAAUUUAAUGAUUUUUUAGAUGACAGUCCACGAUUUAAGCAUUUAGCGAUUAGCGUUAGUGUAACCGUCUUUACAUUUUGCGUCGAAAAGUCUGACGUUACCUAAU
Molecule: long non-coding RNA, 319 nt
Organism: Bradysia coprophila
Lineage: Eukaryota; Metazoa; Arthropoda; Insecta; Diptera; Sciaridae
Source: RefSeq, a predicted model, not a curated record